UACGUAGGAGGCAAGCGUUGUCCGGAAUUACUGGGCGUAAAGCGCGUGUAGGUGGUGGGACAAGUCUGCUGUGAAAGCGCCUGGCUUAACCGAGCGAGGUCGGCGGAAACUGUUCGACUCGAGGACGGUAGAGGGGGGUGGAAUUCCCGGUGUAGUGGUGAAAUGCGUAGAGAUCGGGAGGAACACCUGUGGCGAAGGCGGCCCCCUGGGCCGGCCCUGACACUGAGACGCGAAGGCGUGGGGAGCGAACGGG
Molecule: ribosomal RNA, 253 nt
Filed under: uncultured bacterium
Lineage: Bacteria
Description: partial 16S ribosomal RNA
Rfam family: Bacterial small subunit ribosomal RNA
Source: RNAcentral